RNAcentral lists this ribosomal RNA (445 nucleotides) under uncultured bacterium. RNAcentral's name for it is "partial 16S ribosomal RNA". It matches the Rfam family "Bacterial small subunit ribosomal RNA", at positions 354 to 796 of the family's 1533-position model. The record is from RNAcentral.
GUGAGGAAUAUUGGUCAAUGGGCGGGAGCCUGAACCAGCCAAGUCGCGUGAAGGAAGAAGGAUCUAUGGUUCGUAAACUUCUUUUGCAGGGGAAUAAAGUGCAGGACGUGUCCUGUUUUGUAUGUACCCUGAGAAUAAGGAUCGGCUAACUCCGUGCCAGCAGCCGCGGUAAUACGGAGGAUCCGAGCGUUCUCAGGCUUUAUUGGGUUUAAAGGGUGCGUAGGUGGUGUGAUAAGUCAGCGGUGAAAGUUUGCAGCUUAACUGUAAAAAUGCCGUUGAAACUGUCGGACUUGAGUGUAAAUGAGGUAGGCGGAAUGCGUGGUGUAGCGGUGAAAUGCAUAGAUAUCACGCAGAACUCCGAUUGCGAAGGCAGCUUACUAAGCUACAACUGACACUGAAGCACGAAAGCGUGGGGAUCAAACAGGAUUAGAAACCCGGGUAGUCC